Molecule: transfer RNA, 84 nt
Filed under: Crassvirales sp.
Lineage: Duplodnaviria; Heunggongvirae; Uroviricota; Caudoviricetes; Crassvirales
Description: tRNA-Leu
Rfam family: tRNA
About the family: Transfer RNA (tRNA) molecules are approximately 80 nucleotides in length. Their secondary structure includes four short double-helical elements and three loops (D, anti-codon, and T loops).
Source: RNAcentral
ACUCCUGUGGUGGAAUUGGUAGACACACUUGCCUCAAAAGCAAGAGCUUGAAAAAGAGUAAGAGUUCAAAUCUCUUCAGGAGUA